This 331-nucleotide ribosomal RNA is filed under the name uncultured bacterium. Its description in RNAcentral is "bacterial SSU rRNA". It matches the Rfam family "Bacterial small subunit ribosomal RNA", at positions 568 to 898 of the family's 1533-position model. The record is from RNAcentral.
CGCGUAGGCGGUCUGUCGAGUUAGGCGUGAAAGGCCUGGGCUUAACCCAGGAAUGGCGCUUAAUACUGACGGGCUUGAGAUUGGAAGAGGAGAGUGGAAUUCCCAGUGUAGAGGUGAAAUUCGUAGAUAUUGGGAAGAACACCGGUGGCGAAGGCGGCUCUCUGGUCCACAUCUGACGCUGAGGCGCGAAAGCGUGGGGAGCAAACAGGAUUAGAUACCCUGGUAGUCCACGCCGUAAACGAUGAGUGCUAGACGUUGGGGGGCUUGGCUCCUCGGUGUCGCAGCUAACGCGUUAAGCACUCCGCCUGUGGAGUACGGUCGCAAGAUUAAA